AGUGCAGGCUCUCGUUAGUAGAGAGGAAAGUGUUCAUCUCAGUACUUCCUCACAGCAGCAGAUAUUCUUAUAUUUUUAAUGCUUUCUAAUUUGCUAGAUAGAAAAUGGCAUCUGUUUGUCGACUUGGAAUGUGUACCCCUGAGUCCACAUCCCCGGCUUUUACCCCAGGGCUAUGGGUGGAGGCAUAUCCGUGGAAAACGCUAGCUGAGAUUUUGUCUUGCAGCUGACUUUGGUGUGUCUGCCAAGAAUCUGAAGACUCUACAGAAACGAGAUUCCUUCAUCGGCACGCCUUACUGGACUCUGUGUUCCGGGUUGCUGCUGCCAUCUCGCGGUAGGCAUCGGAACUGCAGCAGGACGUGGCGGGGAGCCGCGUGGAGGCGUUUUUCUGUGGAAGAGCGUCCUAAGGAAGACAGUGGGAUGCAAAGUCACGCAGAUCAUGAUUCGGGAGUGCUGCCAACCCCGACAGUGGCUCGUGGUGGCCCUUGACCCUGAAUGUCCAAGAAGCACCUGUAAAGGCCAGAUUCUUAGCCCUAUGUUGUCCCUUGGUUGGUUCA
This 554-nucleotide small RNA is filed under the name Pan troglodytes (chimpanzee). RNAcentral's name for it is "retained intron". The record is from RNAcentral. Lineage: Eukaryota; Metazoa; Chordata; Mammalia; Primates; Hominidae.